GCCCCCGUAGUUCAAUGGAUAGAACACCGGCCUUCUAAGCCGGAUAUCUAGGUUCGAUUCCUAGCGGGGGUACGA
RNAcentral lists this transfer RNA (75 nucleotides) under Candidatus Moraniibacteriota bacterium. RNAcentral describes it as "tRNA-Arg". It matches the Rfam family "tRNA". From Rfam's summary of the family: Transfer RNA (tRNA) molecules are approximately 80 nucleotides in length. Their secondary structure includes four short double-helical elements and three loops (D, anti-codon, and T loops). Lineage: Bacteria; Candidatus Moraniibacteriota. The record is from RNAcentral.